RNAcentral lists this ribosomal RNA (454 nucleotides) under uncultured bacterium. RNAcentral's name for it is "partial 16S ribosomal RNA". It matches the Rfam family "Bacterial small subunit ribosomal RNA", at positions 28 to 507 of the family's 1533-position model. The record is from RNAcentral.
GAUGAACGCUGACGGAAUGCUUAACACAUGCAAGUCAACUUGAACUUCGGUUUGGGUGGCGGACGGGUGAGUAACGCGUAAAGAACUUGCCUCACAGAUAGGGACAACAUUUGGAAACGAAUGCUAAUACCUGAUAUUAUGAUUAUAUGGCAUCGUAUAAUUAUGAAAGCUAUAUGCGCUGUGAGAGAGCUUUGCGUCCCAUUAGCUAGUUGGAAGGGUAACGGCUCACCAAGGCGAUGAUGGGUAGCCGGCCUGAGAGGGUGAUCGGCCACAAGGGGACUGAGACACGGCCCUUACUCCUACGGGAGGCAGCAGUGGGGAAUAUUGGACAAUGGACCAAGAGUCUGAUCCAGCAAUUCUGUGUGCACGAUGAAGUUUUUCGGAAUGUAAAGUGCUUUCAGUUGGGAAGAAAAAAAUGACGGUACCAACAGAAGAAGUGACGGCUAAAUACGUG